This 253-nucleotide ribosomal RNA is filed under the name uncultured bacterium. RNAcentral describes it as "partial 16S ribosomal RNA". It matches the Rfam family "Bacterial small subunit ribosomal RNA", at positions 524 to 776 of the family's 1533-position model. The record is from RNAcentral.
UACGGAGGGUGCAAGCGUUGUCCGGAAUCACUGGGCGUAAAGGGCGCGUAGGCGGCUCGGUAAGUCGGGGGUGAAAUCCUGCGGCUUAACCGCAGGGCUGCCUUCUAAACUGUCGAGCUCGAGCACGGUAGAGGCAGAUGGAAUUCCCGGUGUAGCGGUGGAAUGCGUAGAGAUCGGGAAGAACAUCAAUUGCGAAGGCAGCUCGCUGGGACGGUACUGACGCUGAGGCGCGAAAGCGUGGGGAGCGAACAGG